AUUGAACGCUGGCGGCAGGCCUAACACAUGCAAGUCGAACGGUAACAGGAAGAAGCUUGCUUCUUUGCUGACGCGUGGCGGACGGGUGAGUGAUGUACGGGAAACUGUCCGAUGGAGGGGGAUAACUACUGGAAACGGUAGCUAAUACAGCAUAACGUAGCAAGACCAAAGAGGGGGAGCUUUGGGCCUCUUGCCAUCGGAUGUGACCAGAUGGGAUUAGCUAGUAGGUGGGGUAACGGCUCACCUAGGCGACGAUCCCUAGCUGGUCUGAGAGGAUGACCAGCCACACUGGAACUGAGACACGGUCCAGACUCCUACGGGAGGCAGCAGUGGGGAAUAUUGCACAAUGGGCGCAAGCCUGAUCCAGCCAUGCCGCGUGUAUGAAGAAGGCCUUCGGGUUGUAAAGUACUUUCGGCGGGGAGGAAGGGAGUAAAGUUAAUACCUUUGCUCAUUGACGUUACCCGUAGAAGAAGCACCGGCUAACUCCGUG
RNAcentral lists this ribosomal RNA (490 nucleotides) under uncultured bacterium. RNAcentral's name for it is "partial 16S ribosomal RNA". It matches the Rfam family "Bacterial small subunit ribosomal RNA", at positions 30 to 507 of the family's 1533-position model. The record is from RNAcentral.